UACGGGGGGGGCAAGCGUUGUUCGGAAUUACUGGGCGUAAAGGGCUCGUAGGUGGCCAAUUAAGUCAGACGUGAAAUCCCCAAGCUUAACUUGGGAACUGCGUCUGAUACUGAGUGGCUUGAAUUGGGGAGAGGGAUGCAGAAUUCCAGGUGUAGCGGUGAAAUGCGUAGAUAUCUGGAGGAACACCGGUGGCGAAGGCGGCAUCCUGGACCGGCAUUGACGCUGAGGCGCGAAAGCCAGGGGAGCAAACGGG
This 253-nucleotide ribosomal RNA is filed under the name uncultured bacterium. RNAcentral's name for it is "partial 16S ribosomal RNA". It matches the Rfam family "Bacterial small subunit ribosomal RNA", at positions 524 to 776 of the family's 1533-position model. The record is from RNAcentral.